RNAcentral lists this ribosomal RNA (700 nucleotides) under uncultured bacterium. Its description in RNAcentral is "bacterial SSU rRNA". It matches the Rfam family "Bacterial small subunit ribosomal RNA", at positions 89 to 787 of the family's 1533-position model. The record is from RNAcentral.
UGGCGACCGGCGCACGGGUGCGUAACGCGUAUCCAACUUUCCCGUUACUCUGGGAUAGCCUUCCGAAAGGGAGAUUAAUACCGGAUGGUGUUGAAAAUUCGCAUGUUUUUUCAACUAAAGAUUUAUCGGUAACGGAUAGGGAUGCGUGACAUUAGGUAGAUGGCGGGGUAACGGCCCACCAUGCCUACGAUGUCUAGGGGUUCUGAGAGGAAGGUCCCCCACACUGGAACUGAGACACGGUCCAGACUCCUACGGGAGGCAGCAGUGAGGAAUAUUGGUCAAUGGUCGGAAGACUGAACCAGCCAAGUAGCGUGAAGGAUGAAGGUUCUAUGGAUUGUAAACUUCUUUUAUAUAGGAAUAAAACCUCCCACGUGUGGGAGCUUGUAUGUACUAUAUGAAUAAGCAUCGGCUAACUCCGUGCCAGCAGCCGCGGUAAUACGGAGGAUGCGAGCGUUAUCCGGAUUUAUUGGGUUUAAAGGGAGCGUAGACGGGAUGUUAAGUCAGUUGUGAAAGGCUGCGGCUCAACCGCAGCACUGCAGUUGAUACUGGCGUCCUUGAGUGCGGUUGAGGUGUGUGGAAUUCGUGGUGUAGCGGUGAAAUGCUUAGAUAUCACGAAGAACUCCGAUUGCGAAGGCAGCACACUAAGCCGCUACUGACGUUGAGGCUCGAAAGUGUGGGUAUCAAACAGGAUUAGAUACCC